This 399-nucleotide ribosomal RNA is filed under the name uncultured Saprolegniales. RNAcentral's name for it is "partial small subunit ribosomal RNA". It matches the Rfam family "Eukaryotic small subunit ribosomal RNA", at positions 30 to 431 of the family's 1831-position model. Lineage: Eukaryota; Oomycota; Saprolegniomycetes; Saprolegniales. The record is from RNAcentral.
GCUUGUCUCAAAGAUUAAGCCAUGCAUGUGUAAGUAUAAAUAACUCUAUACUAUGAAACUGCGAAUGGCUCAUUAUAUCAGUUAUAGUCUACUCGAUAGUACCUUACUACUUGGAUAACCGUAGUAAUUCUAGAGCUAAUACAUGCGUAAAUACCCAACUGCUUGUCGGACGGGUAGCAUUUAUUAGAUUGAAACCAAUGCAGCUUCGGCUGGUAUUGUGUUGAGUCAUAAUAACUGUGCGGAUCGCUUUUUAAGCGAUAAAUCGAUUGAGUUUCUGCCCUAUCAGCUUUGGAUGGUAGGAUAUGGGCCUACCAUGGCGUUAACGGGUAACGGGGAAUUAGGGUUUGAUUCCGGAGAGGGAGCCUUAGAAACGGCUACCACAUCCAAGGAAGGCAGCAG